Homo sapiens (human) is the source of this 1830-nucleotide long non-coding RNA. Ensembl annotates it as family with sequence similarity 86 member J, pseudogene. Its record names the gene FAM86JP. NCBI's taxonomy places the organism in Eukaryota, Metazoa, Chordata, Mammalia, Primates, Hominidae. The record is from Ensembl.
ACGUCAUGGCGCCCGAGGAGAACGCUGGGACCUAACUCUUGCUGCAGAGUUUGCAGCGCCGCUUUCUGGCGGCGCGCGCGCUGCGCUCCUUCCCCUGGCAGAGCUUAGAAGCAAAAUUAACAGACUCAUCAGAUUCUGAGCUUCUGCGGGAUAUUUUGCAGAAGACGUGCUGUAUUGCCCAGAAGCCAUCGUGUUGCUGGUCGGGGUCCUGCUGAGGCUGGCUGCCUGCCGGGAGCACCAGCGGGCUCCUGAGGUCUAUGUGGCCUUUACUGUCCGCAACCCAGAGACAUGCCAGCUGUUCACCACCGAGCUAGGCCAGGCCAGGAUCAGAUGGGAAGUGGAACCUCGUCAUGACCAGAAACUGUUUCCCUAUGAAGAGCACUUGGAGAUGGCAAUGCUGAACCUCACACUGUAGGACUCACACACGACUCCAAUGGGAUUGUGAGAAUCAAGUCACUCUCAAGGGAAGAGGUUUCAUAUGGGAAAGCUGAUAAAACUUUCACUGGACUGGAAUGUUUGGAGAAUGUUAAUUUCCAAAUCAGGAACUACAAACUGCCCUCUAAUAAGACAUCGGCUAUCUAAGCGUGUGGGUGCUCCCUUUCUGCCAGCAGUUCUGGUUCUUAAGGAAAUCGCCAUCACUCAGACAUGAAAACUCUGGCUCCAAAAAUAGCAUUUUCUUUGUGCAAAUAAAAACGUGUGUAUCAAGUAUGUGGACACACUCGGUUCCUCACAAAGCCAAGCCUGCUGCAGCUGCCACAUCCCUGGACACACUUGGUUCCUCACAAAGCCAAGACUGCUGCAGCUGCCACAUCCGCGGACACACUCAGUUCUUCACAAAGCCAAGCCCGCUGCAGCUGCCACAUCCCUGGGCUUACGAUGCAGCAGGUGCUUUUUUCAAGACAGGAAUCAAAAUGUUAGGAACACGGCAGAAAGGUGACACCUGGAGACCAAACGCAGGAUAAGGAGUACUGCAGAGGUCACAGGGAAGUCACAGAACAGUAAUACGCUAGCAGGGGCAUGGGGCAUGAAGAACAGAAGAAGAGAGGAAGUGUUUCCGAGCCUCCGGAAAAGAAAUCAGAGCCAAGCACAGCUUCCCGGGUCACAGAACCAAUUCAUUCACCAGGCGGCACCACUGCCGUCAUUUCAGCUUCUGGCCACUGGGAGGCGCUGCUCAAAAGGGUUUGCCCUGAGACUCCGAGAAGAAGCUGCGGGAAGGACAGCAGGGGUCCCGGGGUUUUAGCCUCUGGCCCAGGAGUUGUAUGUCCAUAACCAAAGGGAGCACAGUCUGCACCCAGCUCUCAUCCCAUCGGAGCUGCUGCGACUCCCGCAGGUUCUUCCAAAACUGGUUUAGCUUGCCUGCAGGAUCAGGAAAGUUUGAGAAAAGCAUCUGCAAAAAAAUAAAGAGCAGAGCUUACCUCAUUGCCUGUCCCCACCCCAUCCCAGGUCACCACCUGGCUGACCCCAGGUCCCCGACCCAACAACAACCCCUCCCAAGUUCCUAACUCUCUCACUUGGACUCGAGACUCUUCACGCCCCAGCAGCGCUCCGCCUCCAACUUGACAUCAUGCUUUCUGGAAACUUCCCCGUAUGUCCCACUUUCCCACACUUGGUGCCCUGGAGCACCUCCCGGCCUCUAACGUGCUGUAUGUUCCCCUGCGAGCACCCUCCUCUUGGCCUCUGGCCAAGUCCCACCCAUCUGUGGGUAACAAGGGGGUGUCGGUGUUCUUUUCAGCCUUGCUAAACUCUCUGAAUCAAGGAUCACAAACUACAGCCUGCAGGCCAAAUCCAGCCCACAGCCUGUGUUUGUAAAUAAAGUUUUAUUGGAACAAA